AUAUAAGAACGCCUGCGAAGCCUGGAAAGCGUACGAAGAAAAGGUCAAGCCCUGCACGUAGCACAAAAAGGUUACGAUGAACCAAAAGAUCAUAAAGGACAUCAUUUUGAUGGAUCUCACACUAGAAGUUAGCCAACCCAUGAAAAUCCAGAUUCUGAUAUUGUAUUUUAUACGCUU
Long non-coding RNA from Saccostrea cuccullata (small rock oyster), 177 nucleotides. RefSeq lists it as uncharacterized. The record is from RefSeq and is a predicted model, not a curated record. Lineage: Eukaryota; Metazoa; Mollusca; Bivalvia; Ostreida; Ostreidae. The transcript is spliced from 3 exons.